CUGCAUUCCACAAAUUUUAAUAUAUGUUACUCCAUUAUGUUCAAAGUAUCUACGAAAGUCCAUGUAAUUUCUCUUACCCAAAUAUUAUUUGGUAGUGUAUUUCCUAAUUUCCAAGUAUAUGAUAAUUGUCUAAUUAUUUUUGUUAAUGAUUUCUAGCUUAAUUUCUCUUAUAUUUUUUGGGUCUUUCGUGGCUCAACAUCUAAUCUUUUUGUAAAUAUUAAAUGUGUAUUUGAGAAGAAUGUGAAUUCUGCCAUUCUUGAUGCUAGUAUUCUGUGUACAUCCAUUAGGUGAAGUUUCUUAUUGUGUAGCUCAAAUUGUCUGUAUCCUUAUCGAGUUUUGUUUUAUUUUCUUGACCUAUUAGUUAGUGCCUGAAAGUCUCCCAAGAUGAUUGUCAAUUUUUCAAUGUUUCUAUUUUGCCAAUUUUUGUUUUAUCUAUUUUGAGGCUAUAUUAUUAGUUUUAUAUAAUACAAAUUUAGAAUUCUUACCCAUCUGAUAUAAUGGUUUAUUAUACUCCCUGAUUUAAUGAAUUUUUAGUCAUUAAAAAAAUGUCUUUCUUUGGCA
Pipistrellus kuhlii (Kuhl's pipistrelle) is the source of this 561-nucleotide long non-coding RNA. RefSeq lists it as uncharacterized. The transcript is spliced from 2 exons. The record is from RefSeq and is a predicted model, not a curated record. Lineage: Eukaryota; Metazoa; Chordata; Mammalia; Chiroptera; Vespertilionidae.